Non-coding RNA from Camellia sinensis, 1239 nucleotides. The record is from RefSeq and is a predicted model, not a curated record. Lineage: Eukaryota; Viridiplantae; Streptophyta; Magnoliopsida; Ericales; Theaceae.
AUUGAAGAGGCAGGACUUCUCUGAUCAGAAGAGAGGCGUGACUUUUGACAGAGAGAGAGAGAGAGAGAGAGAGAGAGAAAUCAAGGCCUUGGAUCUUUGAUCUCCAUCGAUUCUUUGGUUGUAUCAUCUGGAAAUUCUUGUUCCACACUUGAUUUGAGCAUUUAUCUGUAAUAUCGUUUGAAUCCCUCUUAUCUAAGUCGAUCUAGGACUCAAGGAUAAGCAAGCAGCGUUGGAUCUGGAUCGUUAGCAACAGUGAGUAGAAGCAAGCUCAACGAUGUAGAGAUGUAGAUCUUAUUCUCAGAUCUGCACUCUAUUCGAUCAGAUCUGCUCUCUCUGUCUCUCCGAUCUGCUAUUAUGAUUAUUUAUGAAAAGUCUUUGAUUAAAAAGUAUCAAAGAGAAAUAUCAAGCCUCAAACUAGAACUUGAUCACUGGCUACAUUCAGACUUACAGUUUUUGAAGAGCCAAAUUGAGGGGUUGUGAUACAAGUAGGAAGAAAGCUUUUACAGGUAAGCAGUAGUUUAUUGCAAGAAACUGGGAGCACAGGGAGCACUAAAAUUGGGACCAUCCUUGGUUGGGGAAUGGCAGCCAUCUACAUGAGCGGGCGGCUUCCACAAAUUUGUUGAAAUAUUAGAAGGGGCAAUGUUGAAGUAAGCAUUUCCUCCUUUGAUGUUCAGUACAUAAAUAUUUAUAUAGUAAUUCAAAUGAGUGGAAAAAUAGGCCAAUUGCUUUGUGUAAUUGUAAAAACUCUAGAGGUUUAAGUCUAAAUGGAGCCACUUGACAGUUGAAUUAUUAAAUUGCUUUGUGAAUUGUUUUGCGGUUCUCUUUUUUGGGUUUUGAAAGAUGGUAUUGAAGAUAGUAGAUCUUUUGAAGAAUGAAAUUCCAUUUGAAGAAGGAUCAAUAGUUUUAUCUGAAGAUGUCAAGACUGGUUUAGUUCUACUCAACAUCAUCAAUGGCUUCUGCACCAUUGGGCCUGGAAAUCUGGCACCCACAGAGCCCAAUAGUCAAAUCAAUGAAAUGAUUGAUGAAUCGGCAAGACUGGCGAAAGUGUUUUGCAACAAGAAAUGGCCAGUUCUUGCAUUUCUUAAUUCCCACUAUCCUGGAAAACUCGAACAUCCCUAUCCUCCUCAUUGCAACAUUGGCACUAAUGAAUCUAAUUUGGUUCCUGGUAUAAGUGCACUCUGUUUUCUCUGUUUUUUUAAUCUAUGCAUUCUAUAAUUCAAUUCUCAGGCUCUCUCUCUC